RNAcentral lists this ribosomal RNA (494 nucleotides) under uncultured bacterium. RNAcentral describes it as "partial 16S ribosomal RNA". It matches the Rfam family "Bacterial small subunit ribosomal RNA", at positions 28 to 507 of the family's 1533-position model. The record is from RNAcentral.
GACGAACGCUGGCGGCGCGCUUAACACAUGCAAGUCGAACGGAAAGGCCUGCUUUCCCUUGUGGAUUGCGGGUACUCGAGUGGCGAACGGGUGAGUAACACGUGAGUGAUCUGCCCCCAACUUGGGUAUAAGCCUGGGAAACUGGGUCUAAUUCCCGAUAGGACUGCAGGGUGGUGCCUGUGGUGGAAAACGAUUUUCUAGUGGUUGGGGAUGAGCUCGCGGCCUAUCAGCUUGUUGGUGGGGUAAUGGCCUACCAAGGCGGCGACGGGUAGCCGGCCUGAGAGGGUGGACGGGCACAUUGGGACUGGGAUACGGCCCAGACUCCUACGGGAGGCGGCAGUGGGGAGUAUUGCGCAAUGGGCGGAAGCCUGAUGCAGCGACGCCGCGUGGGGGAUGACGGCCUUCGGGUGGUAAACUCCUUUCGACCGCGAGGAAGCCACCUGGAUGGAGGGGUGGUGACGGUAGUGGUAGAAGAAGCACCGGCUAACUACGUG